GAGCGGGGGAGAUUGCUUCGGUAACUGACCUAGCGGCGGACGGGUGAGUAAUACUUAGGAAUCUGCCUAUUAAUGGGGGACAACAUCUCGAAAGGGAUGCUAAUACCGCAUACGCCCUACGGGGGAAAGCAGGGGAUCACUUGUGACCUUGCGUUAAUAGAUGAGCCUAAGUCGGAUUAGCUAGUUGGUGGGGUAAAGGCCUACCAAGGCGACGAUCUGUAGCGGGUCUGAGAGGAUGAUCCGCCACACUGGGACUGAGACACGGCCCAGACUCCUACGGGAGGCAGCAGUGGGGAAUAUUGGACAAUGGGGGGAACCCUGAUCCAGCCAUGCCGCGUGUGUGAAGAAGGCCUUAUGGUUGUAAAGCACUUUAAGCGAGGAGGAGGCUCUUGUAGUUAAUACCUACGAUGAGUGGACGUUACUCGCAGAAUAAGCACCGGCUAACUCUGUGCCAGCAGCCGCGGUAAUACAGAGGGUGCGAGCGUUAAUCGGAUUUACUGGGCGUAAAGCGUGCGUAGGCGGCUUUUUAAGUCGGAUGUGAAAUCCCCGAGCUUAACUUGGGAAUUGCAUUCGAUACUGGGAAGCUAGAGUAUGGGAGAGGAUGGUAGAAUUCCAGGUGUAGCGGUGAAAUGCGUAGAGAUCUGGAGGAAUACCGAUGGCGAAGGCAGCCAUCUGGCCUAAUACUGACGCUGAGGUACGAAAGCAUGGGGAGCAAACAGGAUUAGAUACCCUGGUAGUCCAUGCCGUAAACGAUGUCUACUAGCCGUUGGGGCCUUUGAGGCUUUAGUGGCGCAGCUAACGCGAUAAGUAGACCGCCUGGGGAGUACGGUCGCAAGACUAAAACUCAAAUGAAUUGACGGGGGCCCGCACAAGCGGUGGAGCAUGUGGUUUAAUUCGAUGCAACGCGAAGAACCUUACCUGGUCUUGACAUAGUAAGAACUUUCCAGAGAUGGAUUGGUGCCUUCGGGAACUUACAUACAGGUGCUGCAUGGCUGUCGUCAGCUCGUGUCGUGAGAUGUUGGGUUAAGUCCCGCAACGAGCGCAACCCUUUUCCUUAUUUGCCAGCACUUCGGGUGGGAACUUUAAGGAUACUGCCAGUGACAAACUGGAGGAAGGCGGG
This 1120-nucleotide ribosomal RNA is filed under the name Acinetobacter sp. c63. RNAcentral's name for it is "bacterial SSU rRNA". It matches the Rfam family "Bacterial small subunit ribosomal RNA", at positions 64 to 1177 of the family's 1533-position model. The record is from RNAcentral. Lineage: Bacteria; Pseudomonadati; Pseudomonadota; Gammaproteobacteria; Moraxellales; Moraxellaceae.